This 301-nucleotide ribosomal RNA is filed under the name uncultured bacterium. RNAcentral describes it as "partial 16S ribosomal RNA". It matches the Rfam family "Bacterial small subunit ribosomal RNA", at positions 509 to 807 of the family's 1533-position model. The record is from RNAcentral.
CAGUAGCCGCGGUAAUACGUAGGGUGCAAGCGUUAAUCGGAAUUACUGGGCGUAAAGCGUGCGCAGGCGGUUAUAUAAGACAGAUGUGAAAUCCCCGGGCUCAACCUGGGAACUGCAUUUGUGACUGUAUAGCUAGAGUACGGCAGAGGGGGAUGGAAUUCCGCGUGUAGCAGUGAAAUGCGUAGAUAUGCGGAGGAACACCGAUGGCGAAGGCAAUCCCCUGGGCCUGUACUGACGCUCAUGCACGAAAGCGUGGGGAGCAAACAGGAUUAGAUACCCCCGUAGUUCCUGUCUCUUAUAC